UACGUAGGGUGCAAGCGUUAAUCGGAAUUACUGGGCGUAAAGCGUGCGCAGGCGGUUAUGCAAGACAGAUGUGAAAUCCCCGGGCUCAACCUGGGAACCGCAUUUGUGACUGCAUGGCUAGAGUACGGUAGAGGGGGAUGGAAUUCCGCGUGUAGCAGUGAAAUGCGUAGAUAUGCGGAGGAACACCGAUGGCGAAGGCAAUCCCCUGGACAGUUACUGACACUGAGGCACGAAGGCCAGGGGAGCAAACGGG
This 253-nucleotide ribosomal RNA is filed under the name uncultured bacterium. RNAcentral's name for it is "partial 16S ribosomal RNA". It matches the Rfam family "Bacterial small subunit ribosomal RNA", at positions 524 to 776 of the family's 1533-position model. The record is from RNAcentral.